AUACUUAGUGGCAGACGGGUGAGUAACAUGUGGGUAUCUGCCCUUUGGCCUGGAAUAACACGAGGAAACUUGUGCUAAUACUGGAUAAGUCUUUACGGAGAAAGCUUUAUGCACCAUUGGAUGAGCCCGCAUUUGAUUAGUUUGUUGGUGGGGUAAUGGCCUACCAAGACUUUGAUCAAUAGCUGAUUUGAGAGGAUGAUCAGCCACAUUGGGACUGAGACACGGCCCAAACUCCUACGGGAGGCAGCAGUGGGGAAUCUUGCACAAUGGAGGAAACUCUGAUGCAGCGAUGCCGCGUGAGUGAAGAAGGCCCUUGGGUUGUAAAGCUCUUUCGUCGGGGAAGAAAAUGACUGUACCCGAAUAAGAAGGUCCGGCUAACUUCGUGCCAGCAGCCGCGGUAAUACGAAGGGACCUAGCGUAGUUCGGAAUUACUGGGCUUAAAGAGUUCGUAGGUGGUUGAAAAAGUUGGUGGUGAAAUCCCAGAGCUUAACUCUGGAACUGCCAUCAAAACUUUUCAGCUAGAGUUUGAUAGAGGAAAGCAGAAUUUCUAGUGUAGAGGUGAAAUUCGUAGAUAUUAGAAAGAAUACCAAUUGCGAAGGCAGCUUUCUGGAUCAUUACUGACACUGAGGAACGAAAGCAUGGGUAGCGA
RNAcentral lists this ribosomal RNA (649 nucleotides) under uncultured marine bacterium. RNAcentral describes it as "bacterial SSU rRNA". It matches the Rfam family "Bacterial small subunit ribosomal RNA", at positions 88 to 771 of the family's 1533-position model. The record is from RNAcentral.